UACGGAGGGGGCUAGCGUUGUUCGGAAUUACUGGGCGUAAAGCGCACGUAGGCGGACUGUUAAGUCGGGGGUGAAAUCCUGGGGCUCAACCUCAGAAUUGCCCCCGAUACUGGCAGUCUCGAGUGCGGGAGAGGUGAGUGGAAUUCCCAGUGUAGAGGUGAAAUUCGUAGAUAUUGGGAAGAACACCAGUGGCGAAGGCGGCUAUCUGGCCCGUAAUUGACGCUGAGGCGCGAAAGCGUGGGGAGCAAACAGG
This 253-nucleotide ribosomal RNA is filed under the name uncultured bacterium. RNAcentral describes it as "partial 16S ribosomal RNA". It matches the Rfam family "Bacterial small subunit ribosomal RNA", at positions 524 to 776 of the family's 1533-position model. The record is from RNAcentral.